GAUGAACGCUAGCGACAGGCUUAACACAUGCAAGUCGAGGGGCAGCACAGGUAGCAAUACCGGGUGGCGACCGGCGCACGGGUGAGUAACGCGUAUGCAACUUACCUAUCAGAGGGGGAUAACCCGGCGAAAGUCGGACUAAUACCGCAUGAAGCAGGGGCCCCGCAUGGGGAUAUUUGCUAAAGAUUCAUCGCUGAUAGAUAGGCAUGCGUUCCAUUAGGCAGUUGGCGGGGUAACGGCCCACCAAACCGACGAUGGAUAGGGGUUCUGAGAGGAAGGUCCCCCACAUUGGUACUGAGACACGGACCAAACUCCUACGGGAGGCAGCAGUGAGGAAUAUUGGUCAAUGGGCGUAAGCCUGAACCAGCCAAGUCGCGUGAGGGAUGAAGGUUCUAUGGAUCGUAAACCUCUUUUAUAAGGGAAUAAAGUGUGGGACGUGUCCCGUUUUGUAUGUACCUUAUGAAUAAGGAUCGGCUAACUCCGUGCCAGCAGCCGCGGUAAUACGGAGGAUCCGAGCGUUAUCCGGAUUUAUUGGGUUUAAAGGGUGCGUAGGCGGCCUUUUAAGUCAGUGGUGAAAGUCUGUGGCUCAACCAUAGAAUUGCCGUUGAAACUGGGGGGCUUGAGUAUGUUUGAGGCAGGCGGAAUGCGUGGUGUAGCGGUGAAAUGCUUAGAUAUCACGCAGAACCCCGAUUGCGAAGGCAGCCUGCCAAGCCAUGACUGACGCUGAUGCACGAAAGCGUGGGGAUCAAACAGGAUUAGAUACCCUGGUAGUCCACGCAGUAAACGAUGAUCACUAGCUGUUUGCGAUACAGUGUAAGCGGCACAGCGAAAGCGUUAAGUGAUCCACCUGGGGAGUACGCCGGCAACGGUGAAACUCAAAGGAAUUGACGGGGGCCCGCACAAGCGGAGGAACAUGUGGUUUAAUUCGAUGAUACGCGAGGAACCUUACCCGGGUUUGAACGCAUUCGGACCGAGGUGGAAACACCUUUUCUAGCAAUAGCCGUUUGCGAGGUGCUGCAUGGUUGUCGUCAGCUCGUGCCGUGAGGUGUCGGCUUAAGUGCCAUAACGAGCGCAACCCUUGCCACUAGUUACUAACAGGUAAAGCUGAGGACUCUGGUGGGACUGCCAGCGUAAGCUGCGAGGAAGGCGGGGAUGACGUCAAAUCAGCACGGCCCUUACAUCCGGGGCGACACACGUGUUACAAUGGCGUGGACAAAGGGAAGCCACCUGGCGACAGGGAGCGAAUCCCCAAACCACGUCUCAGUUCGGAUCGGAGUCUGCAACCCGACUCCGUGAAGCUGGAUUCGCUAGUAAUCGCGCAUCAGCCAUGGCGCGGUGAAUACGUUCCCGGGCCUUGUACACACCGCCCGUCAAGCCAUGGGAGCCGGGGGUACCAGAAGUCCGUAACCGCGAGGAUCGGCCUAGGGUA
Molecule: ribosomal RNA, 1429 nt
Filed under: uncultured organism
Description: SSU rRNA
Rfam family: Bacterial small subunit ribosomal RNA
Source: RNAcentral